This 53-nucleotide ribosomal RNA is filed under the name Hycleus deserticolus. RNAcentral describes it as "partial 28S large subunit ribosomal RNA". Lineage: Eukaryota; Metazoa; Arthropoda; Insecta; Coleoptera; Meloidae. RNAcentral also lists the same sequence under 1 other name. The record is from RNAcentral.
UGCGACCUCAGGUUAGGUGAGACUACCCGCUGAAUUUAAGCAUAUUAAUAACG